ACUCCUACGGGAGGCUGCAGUGGGGAAUAUUGGACAAUGGGCGGAAGCCUGAUCCAGCAACGCCGCGUGAGGGAUGACGGCCUUCGGGUUGUAAACCUCUUUCAGCACCGACGAAGCGAGCCUUUGGGUGAGUGACGGUAGGUGUAGAAGAAGGACCGGCCAACUACGUGCCAGCAGCCGCGGUAAUACGUAGGGUCCGAGCGUUGUCCGGAAUUAUUGGGCGUAAAGGGCUCGUAGGCGGUUUGUCGCGUCGGGAGUGAAAAUACCGGGCUUAACUCGGUGCUUGCUUUCGAUACGGGCAGACUGGAGGUAUGCAGGGGAGAACGGAAUUCCUGGUGUAGCGGUGAAAUGCGCAGAUAUCAGGAGGAACACCGGUGGCGAAGGCGGUUCUCUGGGCAUUACCUGACGCUGAGGAGCGAAAGUGUGGGGAGCGAACAGGAUUAGAUACCCUGGUAGUCCACACCGUAAACGUUGGGCGCUAGGUGUGGGAUCCAUUCCACGGGUUCCGUGCCGUAGCUAACGCAUUAAGCGCCCCGCCUGGGGAGUACGGCCGCAAGGCUAAAACUCAAAGGAAUUGACGGGGGCCCGCACAAGCGGCGGAGCAUGCGGAUUAAUUCGAUGCAACGCGAAGAACCUUACCUGGGUUUGACAUACACCGGAAAGCUGCAGAG
RNAcentral lists this ribosomal RNA (671 nucleotides) under uncultured bacterium. RNAcentral's name for it is "bacterial SSU rRNA". It matches the Rfam family "Bacterial small subunit ribosomal RNA", at positions 335 to 1005 of the family's 1533-position model. The record is from RNAcentral.